GUAUAAGUAUUACAUGAUACCUGUAUUGGUAGUGGAAGCACUUGCUGAAAAAAAAAAGAAACAAGCUACAUUGACUGACAUAGAGGUAAAUAACGUUGACUGGAAGGACAAAGAGUCACUGGUUAUGGAUAAACCGCGCCCUUUAACUGAGGACGCCCGCGUGGUCUUUAUCUCAGCGUACGGAGACACAUCAAGUCGACCAUAAAUCCCGAUGUUUUGGAUGGGAAAAAAGUGCCUGAACCUUUCUCUCGCUAUGCUCCUGAUAACGUUUUCUCCAACAGCCUUUCGGGACAUGUUUCACCAAUAAACAAUGUCACCAUCCUUUGUUUAAAGUUCAAGAAGUACUCGACUCUGCAUCGUGUUUAGGCCAAGUCAGUUUCUUUCAAUUUUUUUCAGAUUUGAAACGUAUUAUUUGUUCAGUUCUAAGACAAAAACGGUCAUGUAUCUGCAGCGUUUAGAAUAAAUUGCUUUGCCUUUAAUAAACCAUUGAGGUGAAUUCAUAUGUAAAAA
Molecule: long non-coding RNA, 510 nt
Organism: Exaiptasia diaphana
Lineage: Eukaryota; Metazoa; Cnidaria; Anthozoa; Actiniaria; Aiptasiidae
Exons: 2
Source: RefSeq, a predicted model, not a curated record